Molecule: ribosomal RNA, 321 nt
Filed under: uncultured bacterium
Lineage: Bacteria
Description: bacterial SSU rRNA
Rfam family: Bacterial small subunit ribosomal RNA
Source: RNAcentral
AACGAACGCUGGCGGCAGGCCUAACACAUGCAAGUCGAGCGGUAAGGCCCUUUCGGGGGUACGACGAGCGGCGAACGGGUGGAGUAACGACGUGGGUGACCUGCCCUCAGCUCUGGGAUAAGCCUGGGAAACCGGGUCUAAUACCGGAUAUGACUCCAUGACGGCAUGUUGUGGGGUGGAAAGCCUUGUGCGGCUGAGGAUGGGCCCGCGGCCUAUCAGCUUGUUGGUGGGGUGAUGGCCUACCAAGGCGACGACGGGUAGCCGGCCUGAGAGGGCGACCGGCCACACUGGGACUGAGACACGGCCCAGACUCCUACGGGA